UGAUGGCGUACUUUUUGUAGAACGGUCCGGCGAGUUACUAAUGCCAGCGAGGUUAAGAUGUCAGAAGCAUCGGAGCCGAAGGGAAACCAAGUCUGAAUAGGGCGUAGAGUUGGUAUUAGUAGACCCGAAACCGGGUGACCUAUCCAUGUCCAGGUUGAAGGAACCGUAAAAGGUUUUGGAGGACCGAACACACAUGUGUUGAAAAACGUGGUGAUGAGGUGUGGAUAGCGGAGAAAUUCCAAUCGAACUCGGAGAUAGCUGGUUCUCCUCGAAAUAGCUUUAGGGCUAGCCUCGAGCUGGAGUCUAACGGAGGUAAAGCACUGAACUGACGCGGGGCCCAAAAAGGUUACCAACUCAUAUCAAACUAAGAAUGCCGUCAAGAUACCCUCGGGAGUCAGUCUGCGUGAGAUAAGUCGCGUGGACAAAAGGGAAAGAGCCCAGACCGACAGCUAAGGUCCCAAAGUACGUGUUAAGUGGAAAAGGAUGUGGGAUUUCAUAGACAACUAGGAUGUUGGCUUAGAAGCAGCCAUACAUUUAAAGAGUGCGUAAUAGCUCACUAGUCGAGAAAACCUGCGCCGAAAAUGUAACGGGGCUAAAACACGACACCGAAGCUACGGAUUCCUUACAAAGUAAGGAGUGGUAGAGGAGCAUCCUGCAAGGACGAAGCCAAAGUGAGAGCGAUGGUGGACGAAACAGGAGAGAGAAUGCCGGAAUGAGUAGCGAGAUACAUGUGAGAAACAUGUAGGCCGAAUAUCUAAGGAUUCCUGGGUAAAGCUAAUCUUCCCAGGGUUAGUCGGGGCCUAAGGCGAGGACGAAAGUCGUAGUCGAUGGAUAACAGGUUGAUAUUCCUGUACUACACAUAAUCAGAACUGUGGGGACGCAGGAGGAUAGGGAAACCGGGGAAUGGAAAGACCCGGUCAAGCGUAAAGCUGUGGGAGAUAGGCAAAUCCGUCUUCUGUAAGUGAAACGUGAUGAGGACUGAAAAAAAGUAAGGAAGUUUCCGAAUCCACACUGCCGAGAAAAGCCGCUAUUGCGUUAUGUGUACCCGUACCGUAAACCGACACAGGUAGAUGAGGAGAAAAUCCACAGGCCGACGGGAGAAGUGUUGUUAAGGAACUCGGCAAAAUGACCCCGUAACUUCGGGAUAAGGGGAGCCUCGCAAGAGGCCGCAGAAAAGAGGCACAAGCAACUGUUUAGCAAAAACAUAGGUCUAUGCGAAACCGUAAGGUGAAGUAUAUGGGCUGACGCCUGCCCGGUGCUGGAAGGUUAAAAGGAGAGGUCAGCGCAAGCGAAGCUUUGAAUUCAAGCCCCAGUAAACGGCGGCCGUAACUAUAACGGUCCUAAGGUAGCGAAAUUCCUUGUCAGGUAAGUUCUGACCCGCACGAAAGGCGUAAUGAUUUGUGCACUGUCUCGACAACACGCCCGGUGAAAUUGAAGAACCAGUGAAGAUACUGGUUACCCGCAACAGGACGGAAAGACCCCAUGGAGCUUUACUGCAGCCUGAUACUGGGAUUCGAUGAUAUAUGUACAGGAUAGGUGGGAGGCUAAGAAGCGAGAACGCUAGUUUUCGUGGAGCCGCCGGUGGGAUACCACUCUUAUGUCAUUGAAUUUCUAACCUGCAUCCGUAAUCCGGGUGAGGGACAAUGUCAGGCGGGCAGUUUGACUGGGGCGGUCGCCUCCUAAAAGGUAACGGAGGCGCUCGAAGGUCACCUCAGAAUGAUUGGAAACCAUUCAAAGAGUGUAAAGGCAAAAGGUGGCUUGACUGCGAGAGCGACGGCUCGAGCAGGUACGAAAGUAGGACUUAGUGAUCCGGUG
This 1815-nucleotide ribosomal RNA is filed under the name human gut metagenome. Its description in RNAcentral is "bacterial LSU rRNA". It matches the Rfam family "Bacterial large subunit ribosomal RNA", at positions 594 to 2425 of the family's 2925-position model. The record is from RNAcentral.